AUAGAUCCUGAAACCGCAUGCUUACAAAAAGUAGGAGCCUCGAAAGGGGUGACUGCGUACCUUUUGUAUAAUGGGUCAGCGACUUACAUUCAGUGGCAAGGUUAACCGAAUAGGGAAGCCGUAGAGAAAUCGAGUCCGAAUAGGGCGAUCAGUCGCUGGGUGUAGACCCGAAACCAAGUGAUCUAUCCAUGGGCAGGAUGAAGGUGCCGUAACAGGUACUGGAGGUCCGAACCGACUAAUGUUGCAAAAUUAGCGGAUGACCUGUGGAUAGGGGUGAAAGGCUAAACAAACUUGGAAAUAGCUGGUUCUCUCCGAAAACUAUUUAGGUAGUGCCUCAAGUAUUACCAUCGGGGGUAGAGCACUGUUUUGGCUAGGGGGUCAUGGCGACUUACCAAACCAAGGCAAACUCCGAAUACCGAUGAGUACAGCUUGGGAGACAGAGCACCGGGUGCUAACGUCCGGACUCAAGAGGGAAACAACCCAGACCGCCAGCUAAGGUCCCUAAAAUUGGCUAAGUGGGAAACGAAGUGGGAAGGCUAAAACAGUCAGGAUGUUGGCUUAGAAGCAGCCAUCAUUUAAAGAAAGCGUAAUAGCUCACUGAUCGAGUCGUCCUGCGCGGAAGAUGUAACGGGGCUAAGCCAGUUACCGAAGCUGCGGAUUUGCAUGUUUAUUGCAAGUGGUAGGAGAGCGUUCUGUAGGCCUGUGAAGGUGGUGGUGUAAACCCUGCUGGAGGUAUCAGAAGUGCGAAUGCUGACAUGAGUAGCGUUAAAGGGGGUGAAAAGCCCCCUCGCCGUAAGCGCAAGGUUUUCUACGCAACGUUCAUCGGCGUAGAGUGAGUCGGCCCCUAAGGCGAGGCAGAGAUGCGUAGCUGAUGGGAAACAGGUCAAUAUUCCUGUACCGAUGACAAGUGCGAUGUGGGGACGGAGAAGGUUAGCUCAGCCAACUGUUGGAUAUGUUGGUUCAAGCCUGUAGUCGUGCUCGGUAGGCAAAUCCGCCGGGCUUAGAUGAGGGGUGAUAACGAGGGUGCUUGCACCUGAAGUGAGUGAUACCCUGCUUCCAGGAAAAGCCACUAAGCUUCAGCUUGUCAUUGACCGUACCGCAAACCGACACUGGUGCGCGAGAUGAGUAUUCUAAGGCGCUUGAGAGAACUCAGGAGAAGGAACUCGGCAAAUUGAUACCGUAACUUCGGGAGAAGGUAUGCCCCAAGUAGGUGAACUCGAACAGAGGGAGCCCAACGGGGUUGCAAAAAAUCGGUGGCUGCGACUGUUUAAUAAAAACACAGCACUCUGCAAACACGAAAGUGGACGUAUAGGGUGUGACGCCUGCCCGGUGCUGGAAGAUUAAAUGAUGGGGUGCAAGCUCUUGAUUGAAGUCCCAGUAAACGGCGGCCGUAACUAUAACGGUCCUAAGGUAGCGAAAUUCCUUGUCGGGUAAGUUCCGACCUGCACGAAUGGCGUAACGAUGGCCACACUGUCUCCUCCUGAGACUCAGCGAAGUUGAAAUGUUUGUGAUGAUGCAAUCUCCCCGCGGAAAGACGGAAAGACCCCAUGAACCUUUACUGUAGCUUUGUAUUGGACUUUGAACAGAUCUGUGUAGGAUAGGUGGGAGGCUUUGAAGUGAGGACGCUAGUUCUCAUGGAGCCGACGUUGAAAUACCACCCUGGUGUGUUUGAGGUUCUAACCUAGGUCCAUUAUCUGGAUCGGGGACAGUGCAUGGUAGGCAGUUUGACUGGGGCGGUCUCCUCCCAAAGCGUAACGGAGGAGUUCGAAGGUACGCUAGUUACGGUCGGACAUCGUGAUAAUAGUGCAAUGGCAUAAGCGUGCUUAACUGCGAGACUGACAAGUCGAGCAGAUACGAAAGUAGGACAUAGUGAUCCGGUGGUUCUGUAUGGAAGGGCCAUCGCUCAACGGAUAAAAGGUACUCUGGGGAUAACAGGCUGAUACCGCCCAAGAGUUCAUAUCGACGGCGGUGUUUGGCACCUCGAUGUCGGCUCAUCUCAUCCUGGGGCUGUAGCCGGUCCCAAGGGUAUGGCUGUUCGCCAUUUAAAGAGGUACGUGAGCUGGGUUUAAAACGUCGUGAGACAGUUUGGUCCCUAUCUUCCGUGGGCGCUG
This 2111-nucleotide ribosomal RNA is filed under the name Limnohabitans sp. DM1. RNAcentral's name for it is "bacterial LSU rRNA". It matches the Rfam family "Bacterial large subunit ribosomal RNA", at positions 543 to 2656 of the family's 2925-position model. Lineage: Bacteria; Pseudomonadati; Pseudomonadota; Betaproteobacteria; Burkholderiales; Comamonadaceae. The record is from RNAcentral.